CCUACGGGGGGCAGCAGUGAGGAAUAUUGGUCAAUGGACGGAAGUCUGAACCAGCCAUGCCGCGUGCAGGAAGACGGCUCUAUGAGUUGUAAACUGCUUUUGUACAAGGGUAAACCUGAAUACGUGUAUUCAGCUGAAAGUACUGUACGAAUAAGGAUCGGCUAACUCCGUGCCAGCAGCCGCGGUAAUACGGAGGAUCCAAGCGUUAUCCGGAUUUAUUGGGUUUAAAGGGUGCGUAGGCGGAUGGAUAAGUUAGAGGUGAAAUGUCCGAGCUUAACUUCGGAACUGCCUCUAAUACUAUUGGUCUAGAGAGUAGAUGCGGUAGGCGGAAUGUAUGGUGUAGCGGUGAAAUGCUUAGAGAUCAUACAGAACACCGAUUGCGAAGGCAGCUUACCAAUCUAUAUCUGACGUUGAGGCACGAAAGCGUGGGGAGCAAACAGGAUUAGAUACCCUUGUAGUC
RNAcentral lists this ribosomal RNA (460 nucleotides) under uncultured bacterium. RNAcentral describes it as "partial 16S ribosomal RNA". It matches the Rfam family "Bacterial small subunit ribosomal RNA", at positions 338 to 795 of the family's 1533-position model. The record is from RNAcentral.